GUUUUCUGAGAGGAAAUGCAUAUUCUUGGGACUACUUUCUUUUUUAUUAUAGCCCUCAAGGUCUGUGUAGGUUUCUUCCUUCAGACGUCGGAGGUCCAGGUGUAUGUUGGAGAAAGUGUGGUCUUGCGCUGCAAUGGUUCAGGGUUCCCUGUGGAGGAGCUGCAUGUUCACUGGGAGGCGAUGGGCAAAGACGUGAUCUCUCUGCGAGGAGACGCGGUCGCGGUCGGGAGAGGGUUUGAAGACCGGGUGAACUUCCUCAGAGAUCCUGCAGAGUCCGAGGACUUUUCCCUCAUUCUGUCAGAUGUGAUGCUGAACGAUGGAGACAUAUACGAAUGUCUCUGGGAGGGAACAAAACCCAUUUGCUUUGUGUUUCUACAAGUGUCCACACCAGCGGUUUUCACUGAUCAUGUCCAAGUGUUUGAGGGCGUCGAUAUCACUUUGGACUGCUUUGGAGAUAUCCCUAAAAACAAGCCAUGGGAAGACAUUUACAUCCAGUGGCUGAAGGAUGACCGAGAGAUCCUGCGCUUGAGCUCUGGACAGAUGGACGUCAGUGUCGAUUCCAGCGUGCUGAGGUUACCGGCCAAACACGACAUCAGUCGCGGCAUCUUCUCGCUGAGCAUCGCGUCAGUCAGUGUCUUCGACCGCGGCGUGUAUCAGUGCCGGUACAAGAGCACCGAUUACGAGGCGCCGCGGAGCGGGUUCCCGGAGACACAUACGCUCACGGUCUCGGUGAUGGAUACGUCCGUCACAGAGACAGACACUGAUUCUGGUAAGUGCCUUCUUGUUUCUGUUUGA
Cyprinus carpio (common carp) is the source of this 795-nucleotide long non-coding RNA. The record is from Ensembl. NCBI's taxonomy places the organism in Eukaryota, Metazoa, Chordata, Actinopteri, Cypriniformes, Cyprinidae.